Molecule: long non-coding RNA, 656 nt
Filed under: Setaria viridis
Lineage: Eukaryota; Viridiplantae; Streptophyta; Magnoliopsida; Poales; Poaceae
Description: long non-coding RNA (SVIR_LNC001548)
Source: RNAcentral
GAAAGAGAACAGGUAUUAUCCUGAAAUGUAAAAAUCUUCCAUAUAAGUGUCAUACCACGUUCCCAAUCCCAUAGUUCCGGGAACAUGGCUGCUAAGAUGCUACCACAUAUUGUGAUGAACUUUGAGUAUAGUUUCAACUAGCAACUUGGAGCAGAAUAAUCAACACAUAAUGCAUAAAUGACAUGGUGAUUUAUAUGGAAAACAUCCUCCAGAACAAGAGGAGUAAAAACCACAGGGCAAUCAACCCACUCCUAAUCUCUUCCACUAAAUUUUGAUAAUGGGUAAAAGAAGUCUUCUCUAGAACACCUAAAGGUACAUCUCAGCAGCACCACUAACAACAAAGCAUUCCUACCUUCAUACAACAGCAAUAUAAUAGCAACAACAUUAAAGCGAGAUACGUACAAUAAGAGGUAUUACUUUCAACUUCACUAAGUCCUGCUCAUACCGAGCAAAUCUCAAAUCCAAAUGCCUUCAAAAUUGGUACAACUGAAGUUCAAUGAGUUCCUCACGAGUUAGUAAAGUUUUAGCCAAUUCAAACCACGUUUGACCCCCUCAGAUCAUACUCUUACCAAAGCUAUGCACCACUAAAUAUGCUGACGAAUGCCCCCCCCCAAAAAAAAAACUGAUGUUCCGCUAACCAAAUCCUCAAACCAACC